Molecule: transfer RNA, 67 nt
Filed under: Gatzara nigrivena
Lineage: Eukaryota; Metazoa; Arthropoda; Insecta; Neuroptera; Myrmeleontidae
Description: tRNA-Cys
Source: RNAcentral
GGUUUUGUAUUCAAAUUAAUGAUUUUAAAUUGCAAAUUUAAAGGUGGGUAAAAUUACCUUAAAACCU